This 26-nucleotide non-coding RNA is filed under the name Cricetulus griseus (Chinese hamster). Lineage: Eukaryota; Metazoa; Chordata; Mammalia; Rodentia; Cricetidae. The record is from RNAcentral.
UACUAAAUGGGGACUGUCAGACAUCU